This 591-nucleotide ribosomal RNA is filed under the name Micrococcus sp. Its description in RNAcentral is "bacterial SSU rRNA". It matches the Rfam family "Bacterial small subunit ribosomal RNA", at positions 845 to 1434 of the family's 1533-position model. Lineage: Bacteria; Bacillati; Actinomycetota; Actinomycetes; Micrococcales; Micrococcaceae. The record is from RNAcentral.
GCCGCAGCUAACGCAUUAAGUGCCCCGCCUGGGGAGUACGGCCGCAAGGCUAAAACUCAAAGGAAUUGACGGGGGCCCGCACAAGCGGCGGAGCAUGCGGAUUAAUUCGAUGCAACGCGAAGAACCUUACCAAGGCUUGACAUGUUCUCGAUCGCCGUAGAGAUACGGUUUCCCCUUUGGGGCGGGUUCACAGGUGGUGCAUGGUUGUCGUCAGCUCGUGUCGUGAGAUGUUGGGUUAAGUCCCGCAACGAGCGCAACCCUCGUUCCAUGUUGCCAGCACGUAAUGGUGGGGACUCAUGGGAGACUGCCGGGGUCAACUCGGAGGAAGGUGAGGACGACGUCAAAUCAUCAUGCCCCUUAUGUCUUGGGCUUCACGCAUGCUACAAUGGCCGGUACAAUGGGUUGCGAUACUGUGAGGUGGAGCUAAUCCCAAAAAGCCGGUCUCAGUUCGGAUUGGGGUCUGCAACUCGACCCCAUGAAGUCGGAGUCGCUAGUAAUCGCAGAUCAGCAACGCUGCGGUGAAUACGUUCCCGGGCCUUGUACACACCGCCCGUCAAGUCACGAAAGUCGGUAACACCCGAAGCCGGUGGC